Molecule: ribosomal RNA, 216 nt
Filed under: Glomeromycotina sp.
Lineage: Eukaryota; Fungi; Glomeromycota
Description: partial small subunit ribosomal RNA
Rfam family: Eukaryotic small subunit ribosomal RNA (bases 40-216)
Source: RNAcentral
GGGUCAGUAGGUUGGUCGUGCCACCGGUACGUACUGGUCUCACUGAUUCCUCCUUCCUGAAGAACCGUAAUGCCAUUAAUUUGGUGUUGCGGGGAAACAGGACUGGUACUUUGAAAAAAUUAGAGUGUUUAAAGCAAGCUAACGCUUGAAUACAUUAGCAUGGAAUAAUGAAAUAGGACGAUCGAUCCUAUUUUGUUGGUUUCUAGGAUUGACGUA